ACCGGAGCUGGGAACGGACCAGGAGCAGCAGCUGGUAACGGAGCUGGGCUGGCUGGAGGAGCACAAAAGCUGCUGAGCGCUGGCAGGACCCUGGCGGACACCCGCCCAGGCUGUGCCGUGCCCCGGCAGGAGCUUUGCAGCAGCUGCUCUCCGCUGCGGGUUCAUUGUCCUGCUGCAAGGAGGCUCUGGUGGAGCUCAGAGCUGCCUUGCAGCGCCUGAAGGGGCUCUCCAGGAAGGAGUCCCUGAGCCUUCUCUCGGGUCCCCUUCAGCUGUUGAAAGGAAGCUCUAAGGUGUCCUGGAGCCUUCUCCUCUCCAGGCUGAGCAGCCACAGCUCUCUCAGGCUGCCUUCACAGCAGAGCUUCUCCCACCCUCUGCUCAUGUCUGUGGCCUGCUCUGGAACCCCUCCAGCAGGUCCCUGUCUCCCUUGUGCUGGGGUGCCCCAGAGCUGGCCCCAGCAGUCCAGGCUGAGGUGUGCCCAAAGCAGAGGGGCAGAUGGUUCACAAGCACAGACACCACAGGCUGCCCAGGGCCCUUCCCACACUGCAGCUGCAGGCUUCAGUCAGAUCCUUUUAGGAUCAGACCUGGGAGACUUGAGGGCUAAGGCACCAGCAGCUCUGUCCUGCAUGCCAGGGAAACAAGCACCAAACCAAGUGAGGCUUCUCUUAAUUGCAGUGGAAUUGCCCAAGCCAAGCACUAAGCCACUGAGCAUGCAAGUGAGCUGGGUGGCUGCAGGAGCCUGAAUAGCUUCAUGAGGCUGCUCAAACACAGUGACCAGUUGGAAGCUGCUCCCCUGUGAAGCAUUUUCACUCCCAGUGCUCUCCAAGCACCUCAUGUGUUUUGCCCAACCCUUUCCUCUUUGGCCCCAAAGGUAUUCAUGAGGUGAAAGUGAGAUCUUUGCCUUCCAGUAAGAACCAAAGAGAAAUGCUUUGCUCUAAAAGAUCUUGAAGCUUUCCUCUUGGUUUGUUGGCAUCAGCUGGGCUGAAUGCCACAUUCCUGGCCAGGUGAGCUGAGUUAAAGGCAGCUGUGGAUGAGCACAGACAAGUGCCAAGCAGAGGCCUGCUCACAAACUGCCCCAGCUGCAAGCAUGAAGUGAUGCCUCCAUCUGUCUGUCCCCUCCUUGCCUGCUGGCCAUGACCCUCACUGCAGUCCCUCUGCCUGCACUGCCUAACAGGGUCAGCAGUGCCAGAGCAGAGCAGGAGCCCCAGGCUGUCAGUGCACUCCAAUGGCUUGGGCUGCAGCUCUGCUGAGCCCUAGGUUCAACCCUCCCUUC
This is a long non-coding RNA of Pogoniulus pusillus (Red-fronted tinkerbird), 1270 nucleotides long. RefSeq lists it as uncharacterized. Lineage: Eukaryota; Metazoa; Chordata; Aves; Piciformes; Lybiidae. The transcript is spliced from 2 exons. The record is from RefSeq and is a predicted model, not a curated record.